Molecule: ribosomal RNA, 477 nt
Filed under: Candidatus Scalindua brodae
Lineage: Bacteria; Pseudomonadati; Planctomycetota; Candidatus Brocadiia; Candidatus Brocadiales; Candidatus Scalinduaceae
Also listed under: 1 other name
Description: bacterial SSU rRNA
Rfam family: Bacterial small subunit ribosomal RNA
Source: RNAcentral
UUCGCAAUGCCCGAAAGGGUGACGAAGCGACGCCGCGUGGGUGAGGAAGGCCCUCGGGUUGUAAAGCCCUGUCAGGAGUUAAGAAAUGUAAGUGCGCUAAUAUCGCAUUUAUUUGACGAAGGCUCCAAAGGAAGCCACGGCUAACUCUGUGCCAGCAGCCGCGGUAAUACAGAGGUGGCAAGCGUUGUUCGGAAUUAUUGGGCGUAAAGAGCACGUAGGUGGGUUUGUAAGUCAGAUGUGAAAGCCUUCUGUUCAACGGAAGAAUUGCAUCUGAAACUACAAGUCUUGAGUGUAGGAGGGGAGAAUGGAACUUCUGGUGGAGCGGUGAAAUGCGUAGAUAUCAGAAGGAACGCCGGCGGCGAAAGCGAUUCUCUGGCCUAUUACUGACACUCAGUGUGCGAAAGCUAGGGGAGCAAACGGGAUUAGAUACCCCGGUAGUCCUAGCCGUAAACGAUGGGCACUAAGUAGAGGGGUUUU